UGGCCUUGACAUACUAGAAACUUUCCAGAGAUGGAUUGGUGCCUUCGGGAAUCUAGAU
Molecule: ribosomal RNA, 58 nt
Filed under: uncultured organism
Description: partial 16S ribosomal RNA
Source: RNAcentral